This 702-nucleotide ribosomal RNA is filed under the name uncultured bacterium. Its description in RNAcentral is "bacterial SSU rRNA". It matches the Rfam family "Bacterial small subunit ribosomal RNA", at positions 8 to 727 of the family's 1533-position model. The record is from RNAcentral.
AGAGUUUGAUCCUGGCUCAGAACAAACGCUGGCGGCGUGCCUAAUACAUGCAAGUCGAACGGGGAAAGCUUUCGGGUGAGUACUAGUGGCGCACGGGUGAGUAACACGUAGAUAAUCUGCCUUCGAGUUGGGGAUAACUAGUCGAAAGAUUAGCUAAUACCGAAUAAGACCACAGGAACUGAGGUUCUAGGGGUUAAAGGUUUUUCGCUUGAAGAUGAGUCUGCGCGAGAUUAGCUAGUUGGUGAGGUAACGGCUCACCAAGGCAACGAUCUCUAACUGGUCUGAGAGGAUGAUCAGUCACACUGGAACUGAGACACGGUCCAGACUCCUACGGGAGGCAGCAGUAGGGAAUAUUGCACAAUGGAGGAAACUCUGAUGCAGCGACGCCGCGUGAGUGAUGAAGGCCUUCGGGUCGUAAAGCUCUGUCGCAAGGGAAUAAUAAACUGAAUGUACCUUGCAAGAAAGGAUCGGCUAACUUCGUGCCAGCAGCCGCGGUAAGACGAGGGAUCCUAGCGUUGUUCGGAAUUAUUGGGCGUAAAGCGGGUGUAGGUGGCCAUGUAAGUCAGAUGUGAAAGCCCAGGGCUUAACCCUGGAAGUGCAUUUGAUACUGCGUGGCUUGAGUGUGGGAGAGGAUAGUAGAAUUCCUGGUGUAGUGGUGAAAUACGUAGAUNUCANGAGGAAUACCGGANGCGAAGGCGGCUU